This 903-nucleotide long non-coding RNA is filed under the name Marmota monax (woodchuck). The record is from RNAcentral. Lineage: Eukaryota; Metazoa; Chordata; Mammalia; Rodentia; Sciuridae.
GCAGCUCAGCGGCUCAGGAGGCUAAGGCAGAAGGAAUGCAAGUUCAAAGCCAGCCUCAGAAAUUUAGCAAGGCCCUAAGCAACUCAGGGAGACCCCUGUCUCUAAAUAAAAUAUAAAAAGGGCUGGAGAUGUAGCUCAUUGGUUAAGCACCCCUGGGUUCAAUCCCCGGUACCCCUCCACACACAAAAAAAUCUAUCACUAGGCUACACCACCAGCCCUUUCUCUCUUCUUUUUUUGAUUUGAAACAGGGUCCUACUGAAUGGCCCAGGCUGCCCAUGAACUUGAGAUUCUCCUGCCUCAGGCUCCCAAGUAACUGGGAUUAUAAAUCUAUGCCACCACACCCUGCAGGAUUGACCCUUUAUAUAACAUUUCUCUCUGUGGUACUUUGCUUUGAAAUCUGCUUCAUUGUAUGUUAAUAUGUUUAAUGUUUUCAUGAUAUGUAUUUUCCCAUCCUUUUUACUUAAAACUUGUUUAUAGCUUUAUAUUUGGAGUGAGGUUUUUUUGUAAACAGUAUAUGGUUGGGUCAUGUUUUUAUAUAUACUCUGCCAAUCUCUAUCUUUAAUUUGUAUAUUCAAUGCAAAUAUUGCUAUGGUGGGGCUUAAGUGUGCCAUUUUACUUAUUAUUUUGGUUUGUACUCUCUGUUUUUUGUUUCACUAUUUUUCUUUUCCUACCUUCCUGUAGGUUAUUUGAAUGGUUUCAUGGAAUACCAUUUUUAUUUACUUCUAGUGAUUGUCAGCAUUGUCUCUUGGCAUAGUUUUUGAGAGGUUGCUCUAGGUAUUGUAUCACAUAUAAGUAACAACACAGUCUACUGGUGCUAAAUAGUUUUUGUGAAGUGUAGAAUCCUUCUAUCUUUUAUAUUCCUUUACCCUUCUACAGUUAUAGCAUAGGUGUUUUGAGUAGUUC